This 1242-nucleotide ribosomal RNA is filed under the name metagenome. RNAcentral describes it as "bacterial LSU rRNA". It matches the Rfam family "Bacterial large subunit ribosomal RNA", at positions 1564 to 2815 of the family's 2925-position model. The record is from RNAcentral.
UGAAUACGAGACGCUAAGGCGUCGAAGUAGUGUAUGUCAUACUUCCAAGAAAAGCUUGCACUGUCAUAGAUAAAAAACGCCUGUACCAUAACCGACACAGGUGGGUAGGUAGAGUAUACUAAGGGGCGCGAGAUAACUCUCUCUAAGGAACUCGGCAAAAUAACUCCGUAACUUCGGGAGAAGGAGUGCCUUAUUCGUAAGGUUGCAAUAACAAGAUCCAAGCAACUGUUUAUCAAAAACACAGGUCUCCGCUAAGUCGUAAGACGAUGUAUGGGGGCUGACGCCUGCCCAGUGCCAGAAGGUUAAAGAAGUUGGUUAGCAAUUGCGAAGCUGAUAACUGAAGCCCUGGUGAACGGCGGCCGUAACUAUAACGGUCCUAAGGUAGCGAAAUUCCUUGUCGGGUAAGUUCCGACCCGCACGAAAGGCGUAAUGAUUUGGAUACUGUCUCGGAGAGGGGCUCGGUGAAAUAGACUUGUCUGUGAAGAUGCGGACUACCUGCACCAGGACAGAAAGACCCUAUGAAGCUUUACUGUAACUUGAAAUUGAAAUUGGACUUUAUUCGCGCAGUAUAGGUGGGAGGCGUUGAUUAUAAUCUUGUGGGAUUAUUGGAGCCAUCAGUGAGAUACCACUCUUGUAAUGUUAGAUUUCUAACUUUGAAUCAUUAUCUGGUCAAAGAACAGUUUCAGGCGGGCAGUUUGACUGGGGCGGUCGCCUCCUAAACGGUAACGGAGGCGUACAAAGGUUUCCUCUGAACGGUUAGAAAUCGUAUCUAGAGUGUAAAGGCAUAAGGAAGCUUGACUGUGAGACCUACAAGUCGAGCAGGGACGAAAGUCGGUCUUAGUGAUCUGACGGUACUGAGUGGAAAGGCCGUCACUCAACGGAUAAAAGUUACUCUAAGGAUAACAGGCUGAUCUCCCCCAAGAGUUCACAUCGACGGGGAGGUUUGGCACCUCGAUGUCGGCUCAUCGCAUCCUGGGGCGGUAGUACGUCCCAAGGGUUGGGCUGUUCGCCCAUGAAAGCGGUACGCGAGCUGGGUUCAGAACGUCGUGAGACAGUUCGGUCCAUAUCCGGUGUAGGCGUUAGAAUAUUGAGAGGAGCCUUCUUUAGUACGAGAGGACCGAGAAGGACAUACCUCUGGUGUACCAGUUAUCGUGCCAACGGUAAACGCUGGGUAGCUAUGUAUGGAGUGGAUAACCGCUGAAAGCAUCUAAGUGGGAAGCCCACCUCAAGAUAAGUAUUCUG